This is a long non-coding RNA of Bacillus rossius redtenbacheri, 1028 nucleotides long. RefSeq lists it as uncharacterized. The record is from RefSeq and is a predicted model, not a curated record. The transcript is spliced from 2 exons. NCBI's taxonomy places the organism in Eukaryota, Metazoa, Arthropoda, Insecta, Phasmatodea, Bacillidae.
UACUCUCUACGAGUGCCAUGUUCAAUGUCCUUCUUCGUCUUGCACUUACUGACCACAAACGGUCUUUUCCAGCACUUUGACGCCAUGAUGUAGUAACUCAAAAAAUUCGUUCUUGUGUGAUUUAAAGUUUUCAAGAUGCAUUAAGCAUCUACAACCGCACUAAGUGCGGUUCCACGAUACCGGCCAUGCGGUACACUUGAACCAACUUGUGCUGUGGUGUUGGGGGCCUGUCCCCGGCAGCCCGGAAGCAAAAUGAUGUGACCGCACCUAAUUCAGGAAAGCCGACGACUAUUUCAUUAUUUUUGGCAUGAACUACUAACCUUUUUUAAUCAACUCUACAUAAUGUGAAAAUUUCGUGGACUUAACCUCAUCGGACUUCUCGUCAAACUUUGUCUUCUCUUCUAUCUUAAAGAAUUUUUUUUGAACCAAUGUAACGUCUUAUUUAAAAUAUGUAAUUUACAAGCAACGAAACAAUGUAACAUGGACUAAAGAUAUUUUGAUAAACAAAAAAUUUGUUUUGUAAGGAAUUCAUCAUGUAAUUAUUAAUUUGUUUUAAUAGUAAACAAAAAAUUUUUUAUUCGUUUUUGUAAGGGGCCCCAAAUCAGAUAAAACUUAAACAUAGUAAAAUCAGUAUCAUGUAAGAAAUAAUUUAAAAUACUAGUGAUAUUAAUAAUAUGGUCAGGGUGUUGAGAUUUAAAAAAUAAUUUACAUAAAAAAUAAAUUAUUUAUCUGAAAUUGUCCUUUUUAUUUAAUCAUUGAAUAAUACUCUUAUAGUUUAUUGUGAGUGUGCAUGACCAGUCAGCCCUGUUGAUACUCUAACUAACCCCUCCGCACAUCAAAACACUUCAUGAGCCUUGGUCCACGAGCUUUCAGCAUCCGCCUGCCUCUGUACAUAACCUCAAAAAUUUAUGAAUGGAGGUAAGGUGUGGUGCAAGAAAGAUACUACUACUACUACUACUGUCUAUGCUUCUAUAUGCAAAAAAAAUUUGAAAUGUAUAUUUCUGUCACAAUAUAUGUAUUGAACGAAA